Molecule: long non-coding RNA, 2005 nt
Filed under: Homo sapiens (human)
Lineage: Eukaryota; Metazoa; Chordata; Mammalia; Primates; Hominidae
Description: HSALNT0091338
Source: RNAcentral
GCUCAGCAGUCUCAUUGAAGCGAGCGGCGGCGGCCGCGCCGUGGUAAACAAGUGCCGGGCUGUCAAUCAAGAACUAGACCGGAGCAGGAGAGGACCGGCCUAAACCGGCGCGAGCAGAUCCCAGCCGGCCUGCCCGCGCGCCGCCGCCGCCGCCGCUGCCGCCCGCGCGCCCCGCUAUACAUACGGCAUACGUCGCGCGGCGCUCGCGCCCGUGCCCGCGCAACCUAGCCUGCUGGCCGGGGGGCGGGGCGAGCGAGCCGCGGCGCUUCCGCUUUACACGCCCCAGCCGGCGACCGGUUCCAUCUGGCUCGGGCCACUCUGACACCUUUAGUUUCGGCAAGGGAUAUUGGGGUGGCGAAGGGGAGGCGGGGGCCCGAAGGCUUCGGAAAACGAUGGGGGAGGGGGCAGAGGAUACCCGUCGAAGCCCCCCCCUCCCCCAACAUUUCGAUAUUGGAAUCACUUUCCUUCUUCCUCGGGCCAGCCUUUGCUCUGUCCCCUCAGGUCAACUCAAGGUAGACAGUGUGGCGACUGGAGAGGUCGGGGAACAAGCUUUGUUUCAGCUAAGGGGAAAACAAGCGUUCACAGGAGUCCCCUGACACCUCCCACUCGGAAGAUAGCUAACGGGGGUCCUGCCAACCCUUCCCAUCCAACUUCCAUCUGAAAAGGAUUUUCUGCUAAAGUUGGGUCCAUGGCCAUCCAGCACCUGUAAGGCCGGCAGGAGCGUCUGCCCUCUACUCAGUUAAAGCCUGAAGUCGUUUCCUUUCGAUGGCCCUUAGGAGGCCCAAAAGAGGGGCGACAGAACAUGAUGUUGACACGGGCUGGGCGCCCCCAGAAGCCCGGGAACAAACGUUUCUACUUUCCAGGUCCACUGGUGUUUGGUGUACCCAUGUGACUAAUUUGUCCAAAGAGAGAUUUCUGUGAAUAGACCAGAAGCCGACCUUUACAGUGUGUUUGGGUGCAGAUUCUAGAGGAUGUCUGUGUGCCUUUCUCCCCUUUCAAACGAUAGGGAAGAUAUACUGAGUCCUGUCUUCAGCUAGGGGAUGCCCUGGCCUCCUUCCUAUCUUCAAAGCCUGCAAGAGUGGGCUGAGUCCUUCUCACUCCACCCUCUUCUUUUGUGUACCUUUUCCACUUGUAAGGACCCUUGUAAUUGCAUUGGAUUCACCUGGAUAACCCAGACUGAUCUCCCUAUUUUAAGCCCACGUUGGAGCUCUCUGCUAACAGAGACCAAUGCUGUCACAGAGAACAAAGAAGAGCAGGAAUGAUGGAAUGGUUCUGGUGUCUUCUGCCUUAGGGGCUGCCUCUCAUGACAAGCUGCAACACUCAGACUCACCUGUUUUUACUCCCCAUUCCCUCAGGAGUGGUUGCUGUUGUUACAAUCUGGAGGCUCUUGCAGAGCUCUCUGUUCUAUGCCAUUGAUAUGGUUUGGCUGUGUCCCCACCCAAAAUCUCAUAUUGAAUUGUAAUCCUCAUAAUCCCCAUAAUCCCCACGUGUCUAGGGAGAGACCAGGUGGAGGUAAUUGAAUCAUGGGGGCAGGUUUCUCCCAUACCAUUCUUGUGAUAGUGAAUUCUCAUGAGAGCUGAUGGUUUUAUACGUGUUUGGUAGUUCCUCCUGCAUUCAUUCUUCUCCCUGCUGCCUUGUGAGGAAGGUGCCUUUCUUCCCCUUCAUGUUCUGCCAUGAUUGUAAGUUUCCUGAGGCUUCCCCAGCCAUGCUGAACUGUAGUCAAUUUAACCUCUUUCCUUUAUAAAUUACCCAGUUUUGGGUAGUUCUUUAUAGCAGUGUGAAAACGAACUAAUACAGCCCUAUACUCUGAUAUCAUUUCAAUAAUUUUAUUCUCUGCCCUAAGUAACCAAUUGGUUUCUCCUGCCUAUAAUUAAGUACUUUAAUAAUAUAUUAAGUGUUACAAGAUAUGCUUAAAAAUAAAUAAAUAUAACAUUGAAUAUAUUUGUUAUCUAUGCUACUGCAACAAUGUUUUUGUUUUGUCCUUAAUUUCUCUGCAUCUUACUGA